AUUAUACAAGCAUCUAAUGCCAACCUCAUUAUAUCUGUCAUCGAAACAACACAGAGAGGGAAAGAACUUAAUGACGCCCAUCAGCGUUUGCUAACAUCACUUGGUGAAAUUGCAGAUAGCAAAGCACACCAUAGCACUUCGAAAUUGCUGCUAUCUCUUGCUUGGAGAUGGAACAAAUUCGAUUUUGCUCAAAACGAGAUACAGUUUCCAGAUCCGAUGUCUGCAUGCGAUGAAAUCACAUCUUUGACACAUGUGACCAAUGUCACAAUUGCUGAUACCCUGUUCGAAAUAUUGGGCAAUGAUCAAG
Molecule: long non-coding RNA, 307 nt
Organism: Dreissena polymorpha
Lineage: Eukaryota; Metazoa; Mollusca; Bivalvia; Myida; Dreissenidae
Exons: 3
Source: RefSeq, a predicted model, not a curated record